CGGUAAAACGCGCUGGAGGACCGAACCCACGUAAGUUGAAAAUUGCGGGGAUGAGUUGUGGGUAGCGGUGAAAUUCCAAACGAACUUGGAGAUAGCUGGUUCUCUCCGAAAUAGCUUUAGGGCUAGCCUCGCAAAGAGGAUGCUGGAGGUAGAGCUCUGUUUGGACUAGGGGCCCGUCAAGGGUUACUGAAUUCAGAUAAACUGCGAAUUCCAGACAUUUAUGUGCGGGAGUCAGACUGCGAGUGAUAAGAUCCGUAGUCGAAAGGGAAACAGCCCAGAUCACCAGUUAAGGUCCCAAAAUUCAUGCUAAGUGGAAAAGGAUGUGGAGUUGCGCAGACAACUAGGACGUUGGCUCAGAAGCAGCCAUCAUUCAAAGAGUGCGUAAUAGCUCACUAGUCGAGUGACGCCGCGCCGAAAAUUUACCGGGGCUAAGCAUGAUACCGAAACUGUGGAUGUGCGUUUAUGCACGUGGUAGGAGAGCGUUCUAGCGGCGGUGAAGCAUGACCGAGAGGACAUGUGGAGCUUCUAGAAGUGAGAAUGCCGGUAUGAGUAACGAAAGACAGGUGAGAAUCCUGUCCGCCGCAAGACUAAGGUUUCCUGGGGCAGGCUCGUCCGCCCAGGGUAAGUCGGGACCUAAGGCGAGGCCGAGAGGCGUAGUCGAUGGACAACAGGUUGAAAUUCCUGUACUGCACCGAAUCGUUAUGAGCGAUGGAGGGACGCAGGAGGCUAGCAGCGCGUGGUGCUGGAUACCACGUUCAAGCGUCAAGUCUGAGAGUGAGUCAAAUGCUUGCUCUCAUAAGGACAAGGCGUGAUGAGGAGCGAAAUUAAAGUAGCGAAGGCUGCGACGUCACACUGCCGAGAAAAGCUUCUAGCCAGAGACGGUGCACCCGUACCGCAAACCGACACAGGUAGUCGAGGAGAGUAUCCUCAGGUGAGCGAGAGAACUCUCGUUAAGGAACUCGGCAAAAUGGCCCCGUAACUUCGGGAGAAGGGGCGCUGGUCGCAAGAUCAGCCGCAGUGAAAAGGCCCAAGCAACUGUUUAUCAAAAACACAGGCAUCUGCAAAAUCGUAAGAUGAAGUAUAGGUGCUGACACCUGCCCGGUGCUGGAAGGUUAAGAGGAGAGCUUAGCGCAAGCGAAGGUUUGAAUUGAAGCCCCAGUAAACGGCGGCCGUAACUAUAACGGUCCUAAGGUAGCGAAAUUCCUUGUCGGGUAAGUUCCGACCUGCACGAAAGGUGUAAUGAUUUGGGCACUGUCUCAACGAGAGACUCGGUGAAAUUAUAAUACCCGUGAAGAUGCGGGUUACCCGCGACAGGACGGAAAGACCCCAUGGAGCUUUACUGCAGUUUAAUAUUGGGUAUCUGUCAAGCAUGUACAGGAUAGGUAGGAGCCGGAGAAGAUAGGACGCCAGUCUUAUC
This 1417-nucleotide ribosomal RNA is filed under the name Lactobacillus delbrueckii subsp. bulgaricus. Its description in RNAcentral is "partial 23S ribosomal RNA". It matches the Rfam family "Bacterial large subunit ribosomal RNA", at positions 754 to 2181 of the family's 2925-position model. Lineage: Bacteria; Bacillati; Bacillota; Bacilli; Lactobacillales; Lactobacillaceae. The record is from RNAcentral.